Molecule: long non-coding RNA, 1331 nt
Filed under: Manihot esculenta (cassava)
Lineage: Eukaryota; Viridiplantae; Streptophyta; Magnoliopsida; Malpighiales; Euphorbiaceae
Description: long non-coding RNA (MESC_LNC010315)
Source: RNAcentral
CAUGUAUGAAUGUAGUGUGAUGUAUAUACUUUUAUUUGAACUUGUUUAUUUUGUACUAGUGUUUAUCUUAUUAAUUUUGACAUGUAUGAUGAAUGUAUUCUUCUGAUGCUUGAGAGUGAUGGCACUAGUCAAUAAGAAGAAACAAGUGGUAUCAUGGCUAGUUUUGGCUGUGUUUAGACAUUUUCGUUAUCGAACUUGACACUAGUUAAAUGAGUUUGGCUGCUUUUGCAUAAUUUCAAAUGUGGUAUAUUGCUUCUGUAGCUUUCGUUAUUUGUGUGCUCUUUGGGCAAUCUUUUGGAACCCAUUCUAAAAUUUUUCGUUGCCACUACAUUCAUGAUGUGUGAUCAUUUUUUUACUGUAGUUUCUCCAUUUGAAGUAUGGAAUAGAUUUGUCUGUCUGCUGUGGUCCCAUAUUUUGGGAAAUUUAACUUAUUUAGGAGAGUUUUUUUCAGAGAUUUGCUUUUUUAUCUUGCCCUAUACAUGGCUGCAUGUAGUUAAGCCUUGCUUGUUUUUUUUUUUUUUCNNNNNNNNNNNNNNNNNNNNNNNNNNNNNNNNNNNNNUGUCUUCUUUAAAGAGAGUGAAGUGAGCCAUUAGCUCUGGGGAAAAAAGCAAGAGAAAGGGAAGAAGCGGGGUAGAGGAGUGGUAUUUUUACUGCCUCCUUCCUGCUUGCUUGUACGUGUGCAUACAUAUUAUGUUGGGGAGGUUGGGGAAAAGGGAGUUCUUUUUUUUCUUUAAAAAUUUCUUUAUCUCAUUGUUGUUGGGGGACACCUGGAUUUAAUCCCAUUCUGAUGAUCAUCAUGGACCUGUCAUAGGAGUUGGGGUCAUGAUCAGUGGAUGAUUCUUGCAAGUCUUGCUGUUGGGCAGGUUAUUUGGUGGACGCAAGUGGAAUAAUUAACUCUUUAAGCAGAAUCCUUGAAGAGAGAGUUUAUGUUAAUCUAGAUUUUUGGUUGUACGUGUGUAAUUUAAGAUUUAAUCAAGUAUAGCAUUGGAAAUCCUAGAUUUCAUUGAAGAUGGAUUCAGUUUGGUAUUUGAGGAACAUAAACAAUUGAGUCUUUGGCUGCUUGUCUUCUGCAUCCAUCUCUGCAACUUUUCUUUUUGAGUAAUGACUUUGGAUUGGUCAUAUUUGGCCCUUGGCAGUAAAAUGCCUGAUGAGGCAGAAUGUUUUGUUUUAUGAAACAUUAUCAGUCCAUGAGUGUCAUAUGAAACAUUUCCUUUGCUGAUUUCUGGUAGGUUUUCUAGAUAUUUUCUUUGUUACUGAUGAUGGUAAAGAUAUGUUGCUAUGGUUGCAGGCGGACAAGGUCACAGUCGUGCCCCUUCUGCCGAGAUAGUCUG